UCCUGCCUGCCCAGUGGCUGAAAAGUUAAACGGCCGCGGUAUCUUGACCGUGCGAAGGUAGCAUAAUUAUUUGUCUCCUAAAUAGAGACUGGCAUGAAUGGCAAGACGGGGCUCUACUGUCUCCUUAUCUCCCACCUGAAAUUCACAUCUUUGUGAAGAGGCAAAGAUAAAAUCGCUAGACGAGAAGACCCUAUCGAGCUUAAACUAAAGCAGAAGCUUAAAUUCCCCUCACCAUUCAUCUAAUCAAAUUCGCUUAAUGAAGAACUGAGAAAUCGUUUUUUGUGGGAGUUUUAGUUGGGGCAACUGCGGAGAAGAAAAUCCUCCGCUAUCAUCUAAGCUUUUAGGAAAACUACCCUAAAGCAAGAACAGCAAGUGAUCCACCCUGGUGAUCAAAGGAACAAGUUACCGUAGGGAUAACAGCGUAAUCUUUUUCGAGAGUUCAUAUUGACAAAAAGGUUUGCGACCUCGAUGUUGGAUCGGGACAUCCUAAUAGUGCAGAAGCUUUUAAGGGUUGGUCUGUUCGGCCAUUAAAGUCCUACGUGAUCUGAGUUCAGACCGGA
This 560-nucleotide ribosomal RNA is filed under the name Diadema setosum. Its description in RNAcentral is "partial 16S ribosomal RNA". It matches the Rfam family "Bacterial large subunit ribosomal RNA", at positions 1853 to 2620 of the family's 2925-position model. Lineage: Eukaryota; Metazoa; Echinodermata; Echinoidea; Diadematoida; Diadematidae. The record is from RNAcentral.